RNAcentral lists this ribosomal RNA (376 nucleotides) under uncultured bacterium. RNAcentral's name for it is "bacterial SSU rRNA". It matches the Rfam family "Bacterial small subunit ribosomal RNA", at positions 521 to 896 of the family's 1533-position model. The record is from RNAcentral.
UAAUACAGAGGGUGCGAGCGUUAAUCGGAAUUACUGGGCGUAAAGCGCGCGUAGACGGUUUUGUAAGUCGGAUGUGAAAUCCCCGGGCUCAACCUGGGAACUGCAUUCGAUACUGCUUGGCUAGAGUACGGUAGAGGGAAGCGGAAUUUCCGGUGUAGCGGUGAAAUGCGUAGAUAUCGGAAGGAACACCAGUGGCGAAAGCGGCUUCCUGGACCAGUACUGACGUUCAUGUGCGAAAGCGUGGGGAGCAAACAGGAUUAGAUACCCUGGUAGUCCACGCCAUAAACGAUGACAACUAGAUGUUGGGAGGGUCUGCCUCUCGGUGUCGCAGCUAACGCGUUAAGUUGUCCGCCUGGGGAGUACGGCCGCAAGGUUG